GACGGGACCAGCUGGCUGGUGCCAUGAGGUGACUUCUGCCCAGUGCUCUGAUUGUCAAUGCGAAGAGAUUCAGCCAAGCGCGGGUCAACGGCGGGAGUAACUAUGACUCUCUUAAGGUAGCCAAAUGCCUCGUCAACCAAUUAUUGACGCGCAUGAAUGGAUCAACGAGAUUCCUGCUGUCCCUAGGUGCUGUCUGGUGAACCAACAGCCAAGGGAACGGGCUUGGAUGUGUCAGCGGGGAAAGAAGACCCUGUUGAGUUUGACUCUAGUUUGAUGCUGUGCAACAACAUGGAGGGUGUAGCACAGGUGGGAGGCAAGUGCCAUCAAAGAGAGCCUGUCCCACCAGGAAUCAGGUGGUUUGUGAGCCCUGGAUCCCUGCAUGUCAAGGGCUGGGCAAGCAUGCCAUCCUGAGACCUGUGUGUUGGACUGUGUCCCUGAGCAAUUGGUGCAAGCCAGCAGUGAAAUACCACUACCUUCACCGUUGUUUUACUCAUCGAGUGGCUUGGGAACAGUGGCCGUCAGACAAUCAGUCACUGCACUCUGUGGUGGCUGGGGCCUUGACCUGAUUCGUGCUUCAAUCACUGCACUCUGUGUGGUGUGCCUCCAGUGGGCUUCACUGGUCUUUGGAUUGGUGCCUCGGGACAAUGAUCAGUUGGGGAGUUUGGCUGGGGCGGCACGCCUGUUACAGCACAACGCAGGCGUCCUGAAGCAUUGCUCAGAUGGAACAGAACUCUGCCAUGGAGGAGCAGGCCAAAGGUGCUGCUGAUGCUGUGGCUUCCAGUACAAGCCCAAAACGUGCAAGUGUGGCCUAUCGAUCCUUUGGAUCCCAUUCGGGUUCUGGAUAUUGAAGCCAGAGGUGUCAGAAAAAUUACCACAGGGAUAACUGGCUUGUGGCUGCCAAGCGUUCACAGCGACGUUGCUUUUUGAUCCUUCGAUGUCGGCUCUUCCUAGCUUCCCGCCCGCAGCCGAGCGGAAGAGUUGGAUUGUUCACCCACCAACAGGGAACGUGAGCUGG
RNAcentral lists this ribosomal RNA (1015 nucleotides) under Phacus caudatus. RNAcentral describes it as "partial 26S large subunit ribosomal RNA". It matches the Rfam family "Eukaryotic large subunit ribosomal RNA", at positions 2163 to 2960 of the family's 3401-position model. Lineage: Eukaryota; Euglenozoa; Euglenophyceae; Euglenales; Phacaceae. The record is from RNAcentral.